This 253-nucleotide ribosomal RNA is filed under the name uncultured bacterium. RNAcentral's name for it is "partial 16S ribosomal RNA". It matches the Rfam family "Bacterial small subunit ribosomal RNA", at positions 524 to 776 of the family's 1533-position model. The record is from RNAcentral.
UACGUAGGGGGCAAGCGUUGUCCGGAAUCAUUGGGCGUAAAGCGCGUGUAGGCGGCCAGAAAAGUCCGCUGUGAAAACUCGAGGCUCAACCUCGAGCUGUCGGUGGAAACUUUCUGGCUAGAGUCCGGAAGAGGAGAAUGGAAUUCCUGGUGUAGCGGUGAAAUGCGCAGAUAUCAGGAAGAACACCCGUGGCGAAGGCGGUUCUCUGGGACGGUACUGACGCUGAGACGCGAAAGCGUGGGGAGCAAACAGG